This is a non-coding RNA of Pelobates cultripes (western spadefoot toad), 542 nucleotides long. The record is from the annotation of a GenBank genome assembly. Lineage: Eukaryota; Metazoa; Chordata; Amphibia; Anura; Pelobatidae.
CCCUCAUUCCCUUUCCUCAGAUGCCCCAUCUCAAAGUGAGCUGGUUCAAUGCUUUUCCAAGGCAUGAGAAAAGGGCCCUGUAUUUGUUCUGCACAACGCAAGCAAAUUUAAUAACAUGCUUGCGUUGUGUUUGCUUGAAACUUGUCUCAGGAGUUUCCAUAAUUGGGAUACUCACUGUAUCCUAUUUAUGGAGACACUAUGUGUUUGCUUACAUGGAAUCUAUUGUGUGCAUAUGGGAUCCAGAGUGUGUAUAUCAGAAAUGUAGUGUGUGUGUAGGUGGUGCAGUUUCUGUUUGUAGGGGAUCUAGUGUGUAUUUGAAGAACCCAGAGUGUGUAUAGGAGAUCUAGUGAGUGUGUGUGUGUGUAUAUAGAGGAUUCAGAGUGUAUAUAGAAAUCUAGUGAGUGUAUAUAUGUAGAUGAUCCUGAGUUGGGUAAGGAAUCUAGUGUUUGGAAUUUAAUGUGUUUAGGGGUGCAGUUGCCAUGGCAAUGGUCCGGAUCUCGCGAGAGAAACCCUGUGGAGUUGCAAGUUAGAGCUCCUCUGGG